CCUACGGGGGGCAGCAGUGGGGAAUAUUGCACAAUGGGGGAAACCCUGAUGCAGCGACGCCGCGUGAAGGAAGAAGUAUUUCGGUAUGUAAACCUCUAUCAGCAGGGAAGAAAAUGACGGUACCUGACUAAGAAGCCCCGGCUAACUACGUGCCAGCAGCCGCGGUAAUACGUAGGGGGCAAGCGUUAUCCGGAUUUACUGGGUGUAAAGGGAGCGUAGGCGGUGAUGCAAGUCAGAAGUGAAAGCUCGCAGCUCAACCGCGGGACUGCUUUUGAAACUGUAUGACUAGAUUGCAGGAGAGGUAAGUGGAAUUCCUAGUGUAGCGGUGAAAUGCGUAGAUAUUAGGAGGAACACCAGUGGCGAAGGCGGCUUACUGGACUGUAAAUGACGCUGAGGCUCGAAAGCGUGGGGAGCAAACAGGAUUAGAUACCCCAGUAGUC
RNAcentral lists this ribosomal RNA (440 nucleotides) under uncultured bacterium. RNAcentral describes it as "partial 16S ribosomal RNA". It matches the Rfam family "Bacterial small subunit ribosomal RNA", at positions 338 to 795 of the family's 1533-position model. The record is from RNAcentral.